This 76-nucleotide transfer RNA is filed under the name Trueperaceae bacterium. RNAcentral's name for it is "tRNA-Ala". It matches the Rfam family "tRNA". Rfam says of the family: Transfer RNA (tRNA) molecules are approximately 80 nucleotides in length. Lineage: Bacteria; Thermotogati; Deinococcota; Deinococci; Trueperales; Trueperaceae. The record is from RNAcentral.
GGGGCCUUAGCUCAGCUGGGAGAGCGCUCGCUUUGCAAGCGAGAGGUCGCGGGUUCGAAUCCCGCAGGCUCCACCA